UGCCAUCGUCGUCGAUCUCUAUCAACUACCCUUGCGACUAUGGCA
This is a regulatory RNA element of 45 nucleotides. It matches the Rfam family "Equine arteritis virus leader TRS hairpin (LTH)". Rfam says of the family: The LTH is thought to be a key structural element in discontinuous subgenomic RNA synthesis and is critical for leader TRS function. The record is from Rfam.